UGGGGAAUAUUGGACAAUGGGCGAAAGCCUGAUCCAGCCAUGCCGCGUGAGUGAUGAAGGCCCUAGGGUUGUAAAGCUCUUUUGUGCGGGAAGAUAAUGACGGUACCGCAAGAAUAAGCCCCGGCUAACUUCGUGCCAGCAGCCGCGGUAAUACGAAGGGGGCUAGCGUUGCUCGGAAUCACUGGGCGUAAAGGGUGCGUAGGCGGGUUUCUAAGUCAGAGGUGAAAGCCUGGAGCUCAACUCCGGAACUGCCUUUGAUACUGGAAGUCUUGAGUUCGGGAGAGNUGAGUGGAACUGCGAGUGUAGAGGUGAAAUUCGUAGAUAUUCGCAAGAACACCAGUGGCGAAGGCGGCUCACUGGCCCGAUACUGACGCUGAGGCACGAAAGCGUGGGGAGCAAACA
Molecule: ribosomal RNA, 402 nt
Filed under: uncultured bacterium
Lineage: Bacteria
Description: bacterial SSU rRNA
Rfam family: Bacterial small subunit ribosomal RNA
Source: RNAcentral